This 160-nucleotide ribosomal RNA is filed under the name uncultured bacterium. Its description in RNAcentral is "partial 16S ribosomal RNA". It matches the Rfam family "Bacterial small subunit ribosomal RNA", at positions 1342 to 1500 of the family's 1533-position model. The record is from RNAcentral.
UGGCAGGUCAGCAUACUGCCGUGAAUACGUUCCCGGGCCCUUGUACACACCGCCCGUCACACCAUGAGAGUUGGGAAUACCCGAAGCCUGUGAGCUAACUGUAAGGAGGCAGCAGUCGAAGGUAGAAUCAAUGAUUGGGGUGAAGUCGUAACAAGGUAAC